Molecule: non-coding RNA, 104 nt
Filed under: uncultured Bermanella sp.
Lineage: Bacteria; Pseudomonadati; Pseudomonadota; Gammaproteobacteria; Oceanospirillales; Oceanospirillaceae
Description: Glycine riboswitch
Rfam family: Glycine riboswitch aptamer
About the family: This family represents the bacterial glycine riboswitch. Glycine riboswitches usually consist of two metabolite-binding aptamers domains with similar structures in tandem.
Source: RNAcentral
ACUGGAGAGCGAUUACCCAGACCGAAGGGUUUAGGUAAUCCACCGACGGAGCAAAUCAUCACUCAGGUGUGAUGGCUAAACUCUCAGGUAACCGGACAGGGGGA